UUAUAGGGAGACCUACCCAUCUAGCGCUUAAGCGAGGAAGCGAAAGCUUUUUAGCGAAACAAGACUAGAUAGGUCAACCCAAGGUCGUUGAGGAUAAGUGUUGACUUCCAGACUAUGAACUUGGUUGGGUAAAUGGGCUAUUAGCUCAGGUGGUUAGAGCGCACCCCUGAUAAGGGUGAGGUCCCUGGUUCGAGUCCAGGAUGGCCCACCAUACCAACUUAUUUGGGGGGUUUAGCUCAGUUGGUAGAGCGCCUGCUUUGCAAGCAGGAUGUCAACGGUUCGAGUCCGUUAACCUCCACUGCAAGACAACUCAGCAACUUAUUUAGGUAAAACUAGAGAGCCUGCUGGGUUCAAUCCAGCCAGAACCAUGAAAACUGCAUAGAAACUUGUCAGGUAGAAAGUAACUGACGCUUGUGAUUACGACCAGGUAAAACUGGAAGUAAGACAUUAAACGUCAGAGACAAAUAUCACAGACACCAAUGUUGAGAGUUGACGAAAGUUGACAAACAAGUGGUCAAGCUAAGAAGGGCUGAUGGUGGAU
RNAcentral lists this transfer RNA (541 nucleotides) under Pseudanabaenaceae cyanobacterium HTJ2-KK1. RNAcentral's name for it is "16S-23S ribosomal RNA intergenic spacer". The stretch from base 226 to 298 matches the Rfam family "tRNA". The record is from RNAcentral. Lineage: Bacteria; Bacillati; Cyanobacteriota; Cyanophyceae; Pseudanabaenales; Pseudanabaenaceae.